This 59-nucleotide transfer RNA is filed under the name Apaloderma vittatum (bar-tailed trogon). It matches the Rfam family "tRNA", at positions 8 to 63 of the family's 71-position model. Rfam says of the family: Transfer RNA (tRNA) molecules are approximately 80 nucleotides in length. Their secondary structure includes four short double-helical elements and three loops (D, anti-codon, and T loops). The record is from Rfam by way of RNAcentral. Lineage: Eukaryota; Metazoa; Chordata; Aves; Trogoniformes; Trogonidae.
UAGCUCAGUCGGUUAGAGUAUGGUGCUGAUAACACCAAGGUCACGGGUUUGAUCCCCGU